This is a long non-coding RNA of Amblyraja radiata (thorny skate), 183 nucleotides long. RefSeq lists it as uncharacterized. The transcript has 3 exons. The record is from RefSeq and is a predicted model, not a curated record. NCBI's taxonomy places the organism in Eukaryota, Metazoa, Chordata, Chondrichthyes, Rajiformes, Rajidae.
GGUCUUGGUGAGACCACACCUGGAGUAUUGCGUACAGUUUUGGUCUCCAAAUCUGAGGAAGGACAUUAUUGCCAUAGAGGGAAUUCUGCGUAGGUUCACCCGGUUAGUUCUCUGGGAUGGCGGGACUGUCAUAUGCUGAGAGAAUGGAGCGGCUGGGCUUGUACACUCUGGAGUUUAGAAGGA